Molecule: non-coding RNA, 138 nt
Organism: Chthonomonas calidirosea T49
Lineage: Bacteria; Bacillati; Armatimonadota; Chthonomonadia; Chthonomonadales; Chthonomonadaceae
Source: Rfam
CCUGCUGUUCUCUCAGCAGUAGCCUAGGGGAGCGGCCAUAAUUGGCAACGAUAAUGUUUAAAACCUUUCUAACAAUUUAGCCCAUUCCGAAAGGUGAAGCAAAACCCGUGAGGGGAAAAGCGAAUCCAGAAAUAGCCG